This 484-nucleotide ribosomal RNA is filed under the name uncultured bacterium. RNAcentral describes it as "partial 16S ribosomal RNA". It matches the Rfam family "Bacterial small subunit ribosomal RNA", at positions 29 to 523 of the family's 1533-position model. The record is from RNAcentral.
AGUGAACGCUGGCGGCGUGCUUAACACAUGCAAGUCGAACGAGAACGGAUUAUAGCUUGCUAUAAUUGUCAGCUAAGUGGCGCACGGGUGAGUAAUGUAUAGGUAAUAUGCCUCUUACUAAGGGAUAACAAAUGGAAACGUUUGCUAAUACCUUAUACUCCUUAUUAACAUACGUUAAUAAGGGAAAGAUUUAUUGGUAAGAGAUUAGCCUGUAUUGUAUCAGUUAGUUGGUGGGGUAAUGGCUUACCAAGACUAUGACACAUAACUGGUUUGGGAGGAUGAUCAGUCACACUGGAACUGAGACACGGUCCAGACUCCUACGGGAGGCAGCAGUGGGGAAUAUUGCACAAUGGACGAAAGUCUGAUGCAGCAGCGCCGCGUGGAGGAUGACACAUUUCGGUGCGUAAACUCCUUUUAUAUGAGAAGAUAAUGACGGUAUUAUAUGAAUAAGCACCGGCUAACUCCGUGCCAGCAGCCGCAGUAA